Malus domestica (apple) is the source of this 301-nucleotide long non-coding RNA. RefSeq lists it as uncharacterized. The record is from RefSeq and is a predicted model, not a curated record. NCBI's taxonomy places the organism in Eukaryota, Viridiplantae, Streptophyta, Magnoliopsida, Rosales, Rosaceae.
CGUAUAUCUCUCUAUCCCUCAACCACGUAUCCCUUUUCCCGUGGACUCACUAGGACCGAGUCACCAUCAGAGAGGCUCACCACGAGCCCAGGGACCCUGCCCUGCGAGUUCAACGACACGGAGCUAAGCUCCGGCGAGCAUUUUCUUUCUUUUCGUUGAGAUUUUGCUUCGGAAAUCAUUGUGGGUGAGCACACCCAUUUUCCGGCGAACCGUGGACUUUGGGAGCUUUUUCCGGUCACCUCCGACCGAGUUAUGGUUUUUGGAAGGACUUAGAAUCAAGACACCUAAUCCCGGCGUGAAG